GACGAACGCUGGCGGCGUGCUUAACACAUGCAAGUCGAACGGAAAGGCCCUGCUUUUGUGGGGUGCUCGAGUGGCGAACGGGUGAGUAACACGUGAGUAACCUGCCCUUGACUUUGGGAUAACUUCAGGAAACUGGGGCUAAUACCGGAUAGGAGCUCCUGCUGCAUGGUGGGGGUUGGAAAGUUUCGGCGGUUGGGGAUGGACUCGCGGCUUAUCAGCUUGUUGGUGGGGUAGUGGCUUACCAAGGCUUUGACGGGUAGCCGGCCUGAGAGGGUGACCGGCCACAUUGGGAUUGAACUACGGCCCAGACUCCUACGGGGAGCAGCAGUGGGGAAUAUUGCACCAUGGGCGGAAGCCUGAAGCAGCCACGCCGCGUGCGGGAUGACGGCCUUCGGGUUGUAAACCGCUUUCGCCUGUGACGAAGCGUGAGUGACGGUAAUGGGUAAAGAAGCACCGGCUAACUACGUG
Molecule: ribosomal RNA, 468 nt
Filed under: uncultured bacterium
Lineage: Bacteria
Description: partial 16S ribosomal RNA
Rfam family: Bacterial small subunit ribosomal RNA
Source: RNAcentral